RNAcentral lists this unclassified non-coding RNA (348 nucleotides) under Hevea brasiliensis (rubber tree). The record is from RNAcentral. Lineage: Eukaryota; Viridiplantae; Streptophyta; Magnoliopsida; Malpighiales; Euphorbiaceae.
CAGGGGGGAGAGCUCUUUCCAAAUCAAUGCACAAGGUUACAAGUUCAUCAAGAAACUUGGAUGCAGCAUGAGGAAGCAAGUGAAAAAGCUCAAUAAUAGCGGCUGCUUAAGAAAUGGUUAGAACCUGAAAAGCCUUCCAUGACUUUUGACUCUGGGAAAGCUUUUCAGGUUCUAACCAUUUCUUAAGGUGCUCCAAUAGCUUGCCACCCAAGGUAACAUUAAACCAAUUGGACAAAAGUUCAAGCAGGCGGGCAAGACCCUGCAGAAGAGGCAUGCUAAGAUUUUUCGUGUGUGCCAAGUUCACUAGAAUUGGCCUCAGGCUGCUCUGCAGAAGUUCUUUGGGCAUCC